AACCGUGACCACACCACUUUGGAAACACCAGUUUUCGUCCGAUCACCGAAAUCAUGCAACAUCGGGCCCGGUUAGUACUUUCAUGGGUGAUCGGAGAGGAAUGCCGGGUGUUGCGGUCG
Molecule: ribosomal RNA, 119 nt
Filed under: Echinostoma caproni
Lineage: Eukaryota; Metazoa; Platyhelminthes; Trematoda; Plagiorchiida; Echinostomatidae
Source: RNAcentral